AGAGUUUGAUCAUGGCUCAGGACGAACGCUGGCGGCGUGCUUAACACAUGCAAGUCGAACGAGAGUCACUGGAAGGAGUUUUCGGACAACGGAAGGUGAGGACAGUGGCGGACGGGUGAGUAACGCGUGAGGAACCUGCCUUUUCAGAGGGGGGACAACAGUUGGAAACGACUGCUAAUACCGCAUGACACAUAGAGAUCGCAUGGUUUUUAUGUCAAAGAUUUAUCGCUGAAAGAUGGCCUCGCG
This 246-nucleotide ribosomal RNA is filed under the name uncultured bacterium. RNAcentral's name for it is "partial 16S ribosomal RNA". It matches the Rfam family "Bacterial small subunit ribosomal RNA", at positions 8 to 235 of the family's 1533-position model. The record is from RNAcentral.